Cygnus olor (mute swan) is the source of this 2786-nucleotide RNA transcript. It is a transcript of the gene named flocculation protein FLO11-like, with no coding region annotated. The transcript has 22 exons. The record is from RefSeq and is a predicted model, not a curated record. Lineage: Eukaryota; Metazoa; Chordata; Aves; Anseriformes; Anatidae.
GGCGACCUUGCUGGUGGAAUAUAGAGCGACUUUGGGGCCGUAUGAGGCUGUGGGAUAUGAGGAUGGAGGAACCGCCCUCUUCUGUCCUCCACGGCCUUAUCUCCACCUCACAGCCUUCCUUCCCCUCCAGCCUGUUUCUGCCAUGCCCUCAGCCCCCGGCAGCCAGCAGUGGAUGAGAAAGAAUCGAUGUAGGGGAGGGAGCAUGCUGCCCGGCCAUGAGGUCCCAACGCUGCUCCGUGACACCGUGAGCGCUGCAAGGUCACAACACCCCUUGGUGAUGCAGUGCUGGGCUGUGAGGUCCCGACACCCCAUUGUGACGCUGGGCCGGGCCACAGGCACUGCUCCGCACCAGUCCUGACAGCAGCACUAGCUGCAGCUGCAGCGGUGGUGGUGGAAGCAUGGUGCGAGUGUGGGGAGCCACGGCCCCUGCCUGCCUCCUCUUCCUCCUCCUGGUGGCCCUGUGUGCCCGGGGUGCCCAGGCUGCGCCAUGGCAACCACCGGGAGCAGGUGAUGACGAUGCUGGUUCUCCAUAUCCAGCUUCUCAGCUGGAUCCUCGUUUGGAGCCUCAGGAGGAUCCCCGAGGCAGUACUGGUCAAGUGCCUCCAUGGAAUCCUGCUCCUGAGCCUGCCAGUAUGGGUCCCACAGGUGCAGUUCUCGCAGGCACUGGCUACUCGACACCUCAGCCUGAUGUGGACCACGAGCCUCAGGUUAAUCUGCCAGAUGGGACCGAAGGAGAAGGUGAUCCAGGUUCCCAGAUGGGUUCCAGGACUGAAGCUCUGGGAGAUGGCCUGGAAGUGUCCCCAGGGAGGGCUUUGCCAGACCCUCGGCUGCUUCCUGCGCUGGAGCCCAGCUGGUAUCCCAGGGGUCCUCUAACAGCGAAGGAAAACGCUGAACUAAGAAAAUCUUCCCCAACAUCCUCUGACAUCGUAGAGGAUAUCAUCAAGGAGUUAGAGGAGGCAGCACCUGGGAUGGUUAGAGAGACUGUGCCGAAGGAGGUGCUUUGGCAAGGAAGCGGUCGCACGCUGCCGCUCCCUGGCAAAAGAACAGAGGCAACACAGGCAACACCAGAAGUGUCCCCAGGGAGGGCUUUGCCAGAUCCUCGGCUGCUUCCUGCGCUGGAGCCCAGCUGGUAUCCCAGGGGUCCUCUAAGAGCAAAGGAUAAAGCUGAAAGAAUAAAACCUUCCCUGUUGUCCUCUCACAUCAUAGAGAAAAUCAGAAAGGACUUAGAGAAGGCAGCACCUGGGAUGGUUCGAGAGACUGUGCCGAAGAAGGUGCUUUGGCAAGGAAGCGGUCGCACGCUGCUGCUCCCUGGCAAAAGAACAGAGGCAACACAGGCAACUGCUACACCAGAUGGGACCGAAGGAGAAGGUGAUCCAGGUUCCCAGAUGGGUUCCAGGACUGAAGCUCUGGGAGAUGGCCUGGGUCCUCUAACAGCGAAGGAAAACGCUGAACUAAGAAAAUCUUCCCCAACAUCCUCUGACAUCGUAGAGGAUAUCAUCAAGGAGUUAGAGGAGGCAGCACCUGGGAUGGUUAGAGAGACUGUGCCGAAGGAGGUGCUUUGGCAAGGAAGCGGUCGCACGCUGCCGCUCCCUGGCAAAAGAACAGAGGCAACACAGGCAACACCAGGUCCUCUAACAGCGAAGGAAAACGCUGAACUAAGAAAAUCUUCCCCAACAUCCUCUGACAUCGUAGAGGAUAUCAUCAAGGAGUUAGAGGAGGCAGCACCUGGGAUGGUUAGAGAGACUGUGCCGAAGGAGGUGCUUUGGCAAGGAAGCGGUCGCACGCUGCCGCUCCCUGGCAAAAGAACAGAGGCAACACAGGCAACACCAGGUCCUCUAACAGCGAAGGAAAACGCUGAACUAAGAAAAUCUUCCCCAACAUCCUCUGACAUCGUAGAGGAUAUCAUCAAGGAGUUAGAGGAGGCAGCACCUGGGAUGGUUAGAGAGACUGUGCCGAAGGAGGUGCUUUGGCAAGGAAGCGGUUGCACGCUGCCGCUCCCUGGCAAAAGAACAGAGGCAACACAGGCAACACCAGGUCCUCUAACAGCGAAGGAAAACGCUGAACUAAGAAAAUCUUCCCCAACAUCCUCUGACAUCGUAGAGGAUAUCAUCAAGGAGUUAGAGGAGGCAGCACCUGGUGGGUAUAUUUCACUCUGUCCGCCAUAAGACUUGGGAAGCUGAGGUUCUAAAUCCAUGUGUGGACACACCGUAACCUGCACAGCAGGAAGGGAUAGAUCAGAACGGAGACACUCAAUUUCACACCUAGCAGGCACUGGUGAGCCUCAGAGAAGGCCGAGAGCCUCUGCUGCCGCUUGUGGGUCAAGCCACCUCUCAGGGGCAGCUGCUAGCCCAGCAUUACCAUAACUGGUCCAAGCUGUUCCGUGAAAACUUUGGUAUCCAGCCAGCAGCAACUGGUGUGUGCUUGCAACUGUGCCCACAAUACGGUUCAAGGAGGAGCAGUUCCUUAUAGUCACACUGUCCUGCUUUCUUCCUAAAGGGAUGGUUCGAGAGACUGUGCCGAAGGAGGUGCUUUGGCAAGGAAGUGGUCGCACGCUGCUGCUCCCUGGCAAAAGAACAGAGGCAACACAGGCAACUGCUAGACCAGAAGUGUCCCCAGGGAGGGCUUUGCCAGAUCCUCGGCUGCUUCCUGCGCUGGAGCCCAGCUGGUAUCCCAGGGGUCCUCUAAGAGCAAAGGAUAAAGCUGAAAGAAUAAAACCUUCCCUGUUGUCCUCUCACAUCAUAGAGAAAAUCAGAAAGGACUUAGAGAAGGCAGCACCUGGUGGGUAU